RNAcentral lists this ribosomal RNA (467 nucleotides) under uncultured bacterium. RNAcentral's name for it is "partial 16S ribosomal RNA". It matches the Rfam family "Bacterial small subunit ribosomal RNA", at positions 28 to 507 of the family's 1533-position model. The record is from RNAcentral.
GACGAACGCUGGCGGCGUGCUUAACACAUGCAAGUCGAACGGAAAGGCCCUGCUUUUGUGGGGUGCUCGAGUGGCGAACGGGUGAGUAACACGUGAGUAACCUGCCCUUGACUUUGGGAUAACUUCAGGAAACUGGGGCUAAUACCGGAUAGGAGCUCCUGCUGCAUGGUGGGGGUUGGAAAGUUUCGGCGGUUGGGGAUGGACUCGCGGCUUAUCAGCUUGUUGGUGGGGUAGUGGCUUACCAAGGCUUGGACGGGUAGCCGGCCUGAGAGGGUGACCGGCCACAUUGGGACUGAGAGACGGCCCAGACUCCUACGGGAGGCAGCAGUGGGGAAUAUUGCACAAUGGGCGGAAGCCUGAUGCAGCAACGCCGCGUGCGGAUGACGGCCUUCGGGUUGUAAACCGCUUUCGCCUGUGACGAAGCGUGAGUGACGGUAAUGGGUAAAGAAGCACCGGCUAACUACGUG